Molecule: transfer RNA, 73 nt
Filed under: Promethearchaeota archaeon
Lineage: Archaea; Promethearchaeati; Promethearchaeota
Also listed under: 1 other name
Description: tRNA-Val
Rfam family: tRNA
About the family: Transfer RNA (tRNA) molecules are approximately 80 nucleotides in length. Their secondary structure includes four short double-helical elements and three loops (D, anti-codon, and T loops).
Source: RNAcentral
GGGCGUAUUGUAUAGUGGUUAUUACGCCGCACUUACACUGCGGAGAUCUCCUGUUCAAACCAGGAUACGCCCA